Pelobates cultripes (western spadefoot toad) is the source of this 426-nucleotide non-coding RNA. NCBI's taxonomy places the organism in Eukaryota, Metazoa, Chordata, Amphibia, Anura, Pelobatidae. The record is from the annotation of a GenBank genome assembly.
AUAGGCUCCAGGAGAAGCAGAGCUUGGAGGUGUCUCAGUGGACAUGACAUCCAGUACUAACCCGAUAAUGAUAUCUGCAAGCCCUAUAUCUGUAAAUCAAUUGGUGCAUUAACCAACACCUCUCGGGGAACUAUCUUCAUCAGACAGCUUAUCCACAACCCAUUGUAGGCCUCUAAGCAGACCGAUGUGGGAGUUCCCGUUAAGGUUCUAUGGCUAGCAUUAUACAUCUAGCAGUGUCUGCAGCCCCAGUAAGUAUGAAAUGAGAGUAACUGAAAAGAUGGAUCCCUUGUUUAGAGGCUUGUGGAAGGCCAAGAGCUCAGAGGACGCUUUGAAAAGGAGACAAAGAGGAAGACAGGCUGCAGAACAAGACCAGAGUGCAGACAAUGAUAACAGAAGGAGAUCAAGGCAUGGUGAGGAUAAUGGAAG